This 253-nucleotide ribosomal RNA is filed under the name uncultured bacterium. RNAcentral's name for it is "partial 16S ribosomal RNA". It matches the Rfam family "Bacterial small subunit ribosomal RNA", at positions 524 to 776 of the family's 1533-position model. The record is from RNAcentral.
UACGGGGGGGGCAAGCGUUGUUCGGAAUUACUGGGCGUAAAGGGCUCGUAGGUGGCCAACUAAGUCACACGUGAAAUCCCUCGGCUUAACCUGGGAACUGCAUCCGAUACUGGAUGGCUUGAAUCCGGGAGAGGGAUGCAGAAUUCCAGGUGUAGCGGUGAAAUGCGUAGAUAUCUGGAGGAAUACCGGUGGCGAAGGCGGCAUCCUGGACCGGCAUUGACGCUGAUGAGCGAAAGCCAGGGGAGCAAACGGG